AUACGUAGGUGGCAAGCGUUAUCCGGAAUUAUUGGGCGUAAAGAGGGAGCAGGCGGCAGCGAGGGUCUGUGGUGAAAGCCUGAAGCUUAACUUCAGUAAGCCAUAGAAACCAGGCAGCUAGAGUGCAGGAGAGGAUCGUGGAAUUCCAUGUGUAGCGGUGAAAUGCGUAGAUAUAUGGAGGAACACCAGUGGCGAAGGCGACGCUCGGACCCGCAACAGACCCCCAGCCCCGAAAGCGUGGGGAGCAAAUAGUAUUAGAUACCCUAUUAGUCUACGCCGUAAACGAUGAGUACUAAGUGUUGGAUGUCAAAGUUCAGUGCUGCAGUUAACGCAAUAAGUACUCCGCCUGAGUAGUACGUUCGCAAGAAUGAAACUUAAAGGAAUUGACGGGG
RNAcentral lists this ribosomal RNA (392 nucleotides) under uncultured bacterium. RNAcentral's name for it is "partial 16S ribosomal RNA". It matches the Rfam family "Bacterial small subunit ribosomal RNA", at positions 523 to 918 of the family's 1533-position model. The record is from RNAcentral.